AACGUCUGCGGUGCGCCGGUUAAUGCCGGCGAGAAUAGGGAAGCCGGGUGGAAAUCCCGCGCGGGACCGCCGCUGUAACAGGGAAGCAUCCCAAAAAACGCCACUGUGGUUGCACACGGGAAGGUUUGGGAUGCACGGCCCUCGAGCCAGAAGACCUGCCGCAGAAC
Molecule: non-coding RNA, 167 nt
Filed under: chicken gut metagenome
Source: RNAcentral